AGUGAACGCUGGCGGCGUGCUUAACACAUGCAAGUCGAACGAGACGAUUGAAAGCUUGCUUUUGAAAGUCGAGUGGCAAACGGGUGAGUAACGCGUAGACAACCUGCCUUUGAGAUGGGGACAACAGUUCGAAAGGACUGCUAAUACCGAAUGUUGUAUAUUUUCCACAUGGAAGAUAUAUUAAAGAUGGCCUCUAUUUAUAAGCUAUCGCUCAAAGAUGGGUCUGCGUCUGAUUAGCUAGUUGGUGGGGUAACGGCCUACCAAGGCGACGAUCAGUAGCCGGUCUGAGAGGAUGAACGGCCACAUUGGGACUGAGACACGGCCCAGACUCCUACGGGAGGCAGCAGUGGGAAAUCUUCCACAAUGGACGAAAGUCUGAUGGAGCAACGCCGCGUGAGUGAAGAAGGGUUUCGGCUCGUAAAGCUCUGUUGUCGGGGACGAACGUGCCAUUUGCGAAUAGCAGGUGGUAAUGACGGUACCUGACGAGGAAGCCACGGCUAACUACGUGCCAGCCGCCGCCGUAA
Molecule: ribosomal RNA, 524 nt
Filed under: uncultured bacterium
Lineage: Bacteria
Description: partial 16S ribosomal RNA
Rfam family: Bacterial small subunit ribosomal RNA
Source: RNAcentral